CCAUAACUCCAUCAUUCCACACUCAACACUACACUCCAUCUCUCCCUCUCUCUAUCUUAAUCUUCUUCAUAUCUUCAAGUCUUGUUCUUGAAGAUUCAACAUCCUUUCUAGUAAACUUCAAGAUAGUGUGAAGAUCUAAGGUUGUUCCCAAGGUGUUGUCAAGUGAAUACAAGCUUCCUAUCAUCCCAUAACUUACUUGAAUCUUGAAGGUAUAACACUUAUAUUUAAAUCAUGCCUUUGGUGAAGUUGCUUAGUGUUGAUUGCGAAUAGGAAGCAUGCUCACUUAGGACCGGACGAGGCCUUAUUGAUUUAAUAAUGAUAUUAGUCUAUGUUUGAUUUGCUUGUUUAACUUUAAAACAAUGUUUAAUAUUUAAUGAAAUGAAACUCUUCGUAUCCAUGGUUUGAAACAAUAAUUCUGUUACAACACUCCCCGGCGUUUCCGCCACGAUUUGUCGUUUUACGUGGUCGGGGUGUGACAGAAGAGUUGGUAUCAGAGC
Molecule: long non-coding RNA, 497 nt
Filed under: Helianthus annuus (common sunflower)
Lineage: Eukaryota; Viridiplantae; Streptophyta; Magnoliopsida; Asterales; Asteraceae
Description: hypothetical non coding rna
Source: RNAcentral